Molecule: ribosomal RNA, 480 nt
Filed under: uncultured bacterium
Lineage: Bacteria
Description: partial 16S ribosomal RNA
Rfam family: Bacterial small subunit ribosomal RNA
Source: RNAcentral
GACGAACGCUGGCGGCGUGUUUAACACAUGCAAGUCGAGCGAUGAAACACCUUCGGGUGCGGAUUAGCGGCGAACGGGUGAGGAACACGUGAGGAAUCUGCCUUCCACUCUGGGAUAACUCCGGGAAACCGGGGCUAAUACCGGAUACUUUCAACUGGCGGCAUCGCCGGUUGAAGAAAGUUUUUCGGUGGAAGAUGACCUCGCGGCCUAUCAGCUGGUUGUGGAGGUAAAGGCUCACCAAGGCGACGACGGGUAGCCGGCCUGGGAGGGCGACCGGCCACACUGGGACUGAGACGCGGCCCAGACUCCGACGGGAGGCAGCAGUGGGGAAUAUUGGGAAAUGGAGGAAACUCUGACCCAGCGACGCCGCGUGAGGGAUGAAGGCCUUCGGGUUGUAAACCUCUUUCAGCAGGGAAUAAGCGAAAGUGAAGGUACCUGCAGAAGAAGCACCGGCUAACUAUGUGCCAGCAGCCGCCGUAA